This 433-nucleotide ribosomal RNA is filed under the name uncultured bacterium. RNAcentral describes it as "partial 16S ribosomal RNA". It matches the Rfam family "Bacterial small subunit ribosomal RNA", at positions 29 to 507 of the family's 1533-position model. The record is from RNAcentral.
AACGAACGCUGGCGGCAUGCCUAACACAUGCCAGUCGAACGAAGGCUUCGGCCUUAGUGGCGCACGGGUGCGUAACGCGUGGGAAUCUGCCCUUUGGUUCGGAAUAACAGCUGGAAACGGCUGCUAAUACCGGAUGAUGACGAAAGUCCAAAGAUUUAUCGCCAGAGGAUGAGCCCGCGUUGGAUUAGGUAGUUGGUGGGGUAAAGGCCUACCAAGCCGACGAUCCAUAGCUGGUCUGAGAGGAUGAUCAGCCACACUGGGACUGAGACACGGCUCAGACUCCUACGGGAGGCAGCAGUGGGGAAUAUUGGACAAUGGGCGCAAGCCUGAUCCAGCAAUGCCGCGUGAGUGAUGAAGGCCCUAGGGUUGUAAAGCUCUUUUACCCGGGAAGAUAAUGACUGUACCGGGAGAAUAAGCCCCGGCUAACUCCGUG